AUGCUGUAUUAAUAAAAUCAAUAUUUGAUUGUGCCAUUGUUAUAGAGUUACAUAAUAUGUUUUCUAUUAUACUCGAAGUAUCUGAAUCUGUUGAAUUGUCCAGAUCAGUGUAUACCGCCGAAAUAGUACAAUUAUUCAAAUCUUCAUCUUCUAUUUUGAGGUUUACUUUGGGAAGCUCUUCUGACUCCGAUUCGUUCGUUUCUGUUGAUUCCGGCUCAGGUGCAGUGUCAACUGCUAUUGGAGUGUUUAGAACGGUAGGUACCGAUAUUUCUAAACUGAACUUUUGUUUAACAAAUAUUAAAUUGCAUCGUAGUCGUAUCAAAAGUUUCGAUACCUGUGACCAAUGAUCUUGAUUUAAUCUUUCCCUGUGAUCAUGAAUUAGCAUUCGCGCUUCAUUAAAGCACUCUACGAAUAUUUCAACAUGCUUCCUAACCAUGUUUUUUUGGAUAGGUCUAUUCUGGGUUAGUGACUUGUAUGAUCUGUCGAAAUUAGUUUUAAUGUUUGAUAUUUCCCCGUACAAUUUGUUCCAUUCCAUGCAUGUAGUUUAGCCAUACUUUGUAAGAAGGGUUACAUGAAAUAUUUUUAUAUUUAUUUUUUUGUUAUUUCAUUUUCUUAGAUUUUAGGUGUUGACAUUCAUGUGAAAUCACUUUUGUUUGUGCUGUUUUUUUUUUUUUUUAGAUUUUGUCCAGGUAAUUUUCUUGACUCUGGAAUCUUUUCUUCAAACAUUUUUUGUCUAAUUCAUACAAUUAUAAUACGCUUGCCAACAUUAUAAUAACGGUUAUCAUUAACAAUAUUGUGAUUGUUCGCAGAUCAAUUUUUUCAGAUUCGAUUUUAUUAACGACAUAUGACGUGGAAUCUACAACUUUUGUAUCUACCAAACUUAUUUUAGAUAUUGUAUCGAUUUUCAUUUUUUCAAUUUCUAUCUUUUUUUCCUUUGUGUCAUGUAAUGUUUCUAGGAGGUACUUAUGCUAUUACUUCUCAUUAGAAAAGAGUGAGAAAAAAAAUUAAAUUGGCUUUUAUCCAUAUUUUUUUUAAUUCUAUUUUCCUGCCUAUCAUUUGUACGGCUUUACGGGCCAUACUUUCUAAUUGGGCAGAAAGAGUUCCGCUCAAUUUUGCAAAAUAUUAUAUUAUAUUAAAAAAAAAUAUGCAUCGUAGUGCAAUUAAAAAAAUUAUGCAACGCAGUACAUGGGUAAAAAAAAUGUUGUUUCCAGCAUGGUUGGUUUCUCUUCCUUCCUUCUACGUCAGCUGGUCUUCGCCGGUUUGGCUACGCUGACGCUCCGUCGGUGGCGCAGGAGGUGGCGUAUUCCCGCACUCUAUUUGCCGCUGCUGCUGUCCGGGACCUUUUGGGCUCAGGCGUUACCGGUGCCGGUCCUCGCACCUUUUGAAGUUUUGGUAAUUGCUUUGGGGAUGGGGGUUUCGUUGCUGUUAGUAUUUCAUUAAAUCUUCUUAUUGGCACUGAGUGAGUGGAGGUAAUUUUUGGGCGUUUAUUAUUAAUUAAUUUUUCUUGCAGAAAAUCCAGUUCUGUUUGUAGUUUUUGGGCCGUAGCCCACGCGGGAGGUGUAGUAUUUACGUAGAGUAGCCAUUUCAGGUGUGCUACCCUUUUUUUUCCUUUGCGCAACUCCUACGCGUUUUUGUAGUCUUCCUUCCUGUCUUCCAUUUCUGAGUGUCCGUUAUCCGAAAAUUACGAUGCAGUCGUUCCUUUUCAGUAAAGAUGUGAACUUAUAUACGUUGCUAUGCGCUCAUAAGUGGAGGCGCAAUUAUGCCGACGCUAGCACUUUCUGUGUGCGGGCUAAGCCAUGGCGAUCGGUUCAUAAUUCGGCUACUUAAGGUUUAUGACCGGGACUUUGAAAUAUGUAAACACUGCAACAAAGUGUUUCAGUGCGCACCCCUUAAGUACCCUCGGUACAAUGGGUAUUCAAUAAAUGUGCAUACAACAAUGCAAUCCUCAAUGCUUUUAAUCUUUUCUUUCUUUUUCUUAUAGAAUUCAAUUUUAUUUUGCUAUUUAAGCUUGAAAUUUUCGUAUGUCGAUUAUUAAUAUUUUGAGUUAUAAUUUUUCUUAAAUCUUUUCCAAACUUUCCAAUUUUCUUCUCAUCAGUAUAUUGUUUCGUUGCAAGAUCAUCCUUAUCUUAAGGUUUU
This is a long non-coding RNA of Drosophila biarmipes, 2136 nucleotides long. RefSeq lists it as uncharacterized. The transcript has 3 exons. The record is from RefSeq and is a predicted model, not a curated record. NCBI's taxonomy places the organism in Eukaryota, Metazoa, Arthropoda, Insecta, Diptera, Drosophilidae.